This 254-nucleotide ribosomal RNA is filed under the name uncultured bacterium. RNAcentral's name for it is "partial 16S ribosomal RNA". It matches the Rfam family "Bacterial small subunit ribosomal RNA", at positions 524 to 776 of the family's 1533-position model. The record is from RNAcentral.
UACGUAGGGGGCAAGCGUUGUCCGGAUUCAUUGGGCGUAAAGAGCUCGUAGGCGGCUUGGCAAGUCGGGUGUGAAACCUCCAGGCUCAACCUGGAGACGCCACCCGAUACUGCCAUGGCUAGAGUCCGGUAGGGGACCACGGAAUUCCUGGUGUAGCGGUGAAAUGCGCAGAUAUCAGGAGGAACACCGGUGGCGAAGGCGGGUCUCUGGGCCAUUACUGACGCUGAGGAGCGAAAGCGUGGGGAGCGAACAGG